Manis pentadactyla (Chinese pangolin) is the source of this 2238-nucleotide RNA transcript. It is a transcript of the gene named coiled-coil domain containing 169, with no coding region annotated. The record is from RefSeq and is a predicted model, not a curated record. The transcript is spliced from 5 exons. Lineage: Eukaryota; Metazoa; Chordata; Mammalia; Pholidota; Manidae.
UAGACUAUUCUAGCAAACAGCAGCAAAAUACAGAUUCUUCUCAAGUUUAUAUGUAACAUUCACCAACAUAAACCAUAUCAGACACUCAGUUUCUUGAGCACAGGGACUGGUUUUGUAAUUGUCACUGUGGCAUCCCUAGCGCAAUUCCUGGCACAUAGGAGGGGCUAGAUGCAUACUUUUUGAAUCAAUUAAUGAAUUGUAAAAUUAGGUGAUAAGAUGAAGAAUCUAGUUAGGGUGGGAAAAGCAGUUAAGAUAUAGUCUAACACAAAGCAUAUUUAACAAGUUUAAGCCUCAAGGGUUAGGACUACAAAUCAAUACCAACAAAUACAAGAAAACAUCUUUCUGUCAUAGAAACUGCCACUUGAUUAAUAUUCCUAAGCCCUGCUUUCAUCACAUCACUUUUUUAACAGCUUAUGGCUCCAGCAGUUAAGCCUCUAUUCUAAGUCUUCCAUAACCAGGUCCUUCCCUAGUUACCUUUCCGCUUAUUUUUUCCUCAAAUGUUUUGCUUCAGCUCUGUCAUUACCACUAAAUAAUCAUUUCUGACUCAGGUCUAUGAUCAACAUAGCUUCCCUAUCUCCCUCUUUUUUUUUUUUUAAAUCUCUUUUUUUGCCCAUCAAAAUCCUUCCCAUUUCGGGGCCCCUGAACACUCCCGCACACGAUCAUCUUCUUUUAAAAACUUGCAAAGCAUUUAUUGUCUACGUUUCACGUUUUGGCAUUUAAUCACGUAUUGACUUGACUUUUACCUCUUUCCUAUGUACAUCUCUUGUAUGAGCUUCUAGAGUUUUGGCUCAUAUCUCAGGUCAUCUUAACUACAAAAAUAAUUGUAUUCUGGUAGUUUAUUUGUAAGCUCAUUUCUUUUAGAACUUAGAGUGCAUUUUCCCAUUGAAACAAUAUUAAAGAGGGUUAGAUACUCUUUUACAUCUUCAAAGAUAAUAUUUAACCAAUGAUCUAAUUGAACCCUGUUGCUAUGGCAACCUGAGCUUGGACCCCUCUGAGCAAGGGUCUAUGCAGCGAAAUUCUGAGCUGCUCUGUCACUCUCUGACUAUCCCUUCAAAAGCCCUUUAUACCUGAGCAGAGGUCUAUUUCGUAAGGGCUUAAUUUUCUAUAAAGGAACUUGGUUUAGCCUUUUACAUUUGUAGGGCUUUCGUUGAUUUUCUUCUGGAGCAAGUUUGUGCUUGGGGGAUGGGGACCUAAGGCCGUUUAUAAAGCUAGUGCACAGUAUUUGAAGACAAGCAAUGCCUGCCUGAGAAGUAUUGCCCAGUUGUGUUUCAGCAGGAGUGUUAAUUAAAUAUCCAUAGUGAAGAAUUGCCACUUCAAGGGAUUUGCUUUGACGCUAGUGUUAUUUUUAGAGACCUGAGCUUGCACAGUUGCAGCUGACCUAAUUAUCCUAUUAAUACAAAUUUUAAUAUUCUAAUAAUUACUAACAAGAAUCUCAGAGAAGAACUGAAGUUUUUAGAGGAUUGUCAAGAGGAGGGAAUGAACUCUAAAAUUUCUUGCAGUUUUGCUUUGUGGAGAUUUAAAUCAGCUCCCUUCCAUUUUCUUUGAGUGUUUCUUUUAAUAGAUUCCGCGACCUACAUCAUGACCAGCAAGAUUUGUAUAGAACUCGACUUGGAGAUUUUUUAACCUUAAUGGGAAUCCUUGACUAUGUUACUUAAACAGCUAGAAAAAGAAAAAAGGAGCCUUGAAAGUCAAGUGAAAGGCAACACACGGAGACAAGAACAAGAGUUGAAGCAGUGAGCGCUGUGCACACCUAGCGGAAAUGUCUCAGAAACGUCAUUCUGAUAUAAGAUACUAUGGUGGUGUCCUGUUGAAAACCUUCAGUGACUUUGCAGUGCGUGAGGAUUCAGCAAAGGUGCGGUCUUAUGAGGUCCCCUCUACUCGCAGCGCCUGCCUCUCAGUCACGGCCCUGCUCACAGCCCGCACUGCAGCCGGCCCAGCAGUACAGGGACCCCUGUGUCUGUCACGCUGCUUUGUACCUUCGGGCCCCGGGGCUCCUCUUCUGAGAAAGGCUCUCCUUGGCUCCCAGUCGGCUGCUCUUCCACGUGGAGCCCCCAAAGCCUGAAUCACAUGCAUCUGCUGAAUGCUUGCAUAGUGCCGCGCAAACCUCUCCCAGGCAGUGAGCUGUAUGCUCUGUUCCCUCCGGUGUUCCCCCAAAAGGCUGUCUCUGGCUCAUACCUAGUUUCUAAAAGGCAACAGAUGGAUCAACUGCCUAGAAUGAAAGAGAAUCUAGUGAAAAUG